This 69-nucleotide transfer RNA is filed under the name Ictidomys tridecemlineatus (thirteen-lined ground squirrel). RNAcentral describes it as "Spermophilus tridecemlineatus (thirteen-lined ground squirrel) tRNA". It matches the Rfam family "tRNA". Rfam says of the family: Transfer RNA (tRNA) molecules are approximately 80 nucleotides in length. Their secondary structure includes four short double-helical elements and three loops (D, anti-codon, and T loops). Lineage: Eukaryota; Metazoa; Chordata; Mammalia; Rodentia; Sciuridae. The record is from Rfam by way of RNAcentral.
GGGGUUGUGGCUCAGUGGUACAACACAUGCCUAGCAUGCAUGAGGCGCUGGGUUCCAUCCCCAGCACCA